AAUGAUGGAGGUGCAGGCAUUUCCUGAGGAUUAAUGACCAGCUGGGAGGAACCAGUGGCCCUUGGCUCUGCCUCCCAGCCAGCCAUUAAUUCCAAGGAAAUGUCUUUUGCUGAGGUCGUU
Cavia porcellus (domestic guinea pig) is the source of this 120-nucleotide microRNA precursor. NCBI's taxonomy places the organism in Eukaryota, Metazoa, Chordata, Mammalia, Rodentia, Caviidae. The record is from Ensembl.